UACGUAGGGUGCAAGCGUUAAUCGGAAUUACUGGGCGUAAAGCGUGCGCAGGCGGUUUUGUAAGUCAGCUGUGAAAUCCCCGGGCUCAACCUGGGAAUGGCAGUUGAGACUGCAAGGCUAGAGUGUGUCAGAGGGGGGUAGAAUUCCACGUGUAGCAGUGAAAUGCGUAGAGAUGUGGAGGAAUACCGAUGGCGAAGGCAGCCCCCUGGGAUAACACUGACGCUCAUGCACGAAAGCGUGGGGAGCAAACAGG
RNAcentral lists this ribosomal RNA (253 nucleotides) under uncultured bacterium. Its description in RNAcentral is "partial 16S ribosomal RNA". It matches the Rfam family "Bacterial small subunit ribosomal RNA", at positions 524 to 776 of the family's 1533-position model. The record is from RNAcentral.